Molecule: small nuclear RNA, 60 nt
Filed under: Aotus nancymaae (Ma's night monkey)
Lineage: Eukaryota; Metazoa; Chordata; Mammalia; Primates; Aotidae
Source: RNAcentral
GCGCUUCAGCAGCACAUAUCCUAAAAUCGGAAUGAUACAGAAAAGAUUAGCAUAGUCCCU